This 1494-nucleotide unclassified non-coding RNA is filed under the name Hevea brasiliensis (rubber tree). The record is from RNAcentral. Lineage: Eukaryota; Viridiplantae; Streptophyta; Magnoliopsida; Malpighiales; Euphorbiaceae.
CAAAAAUCAGUUCUUGUUGAUUCAAGAAAAGGAAAAUGAGAGAAUAUUGGACCUCUUUUGCUUCUCUUCUUGGUGUUUUGGCCUUCUGCCAAACUCUCGUCCAAGUUAUCUUCCCACCUGAGCUCCGUUUUGCCUUUAUCAAACUCUUCAACCGGAUCUUGAACACUUUCUCUUCUUAUUUCUACUUCGAUAUCACUGAAAUCGAUGGUGUUAAUACCAACGAGCUUUAUAACGCCGUUCAGCUUUAUCUCAGCUCCUCCGUCUCCAUCUCCGGCACCCGCUUGAGCCUCACCCGGGCUCUUAACUCCAGCGCCAUCACUUUUGGCCUCACAAAUAAUGACUCCAUUUUUGAUACUUUCAAUGGUGUCACCGUCCACUGGGAGCACGUCGUCACUCAAAGGCAAGCUCAGACAUUCUCUUGGCGGCCAUUGCCUGAGGAGAAGAGAGGCUUCACUCUUCGAAUCAAGAAAAAGGACAAGUCUUUGAUUCUUGAUUCGUAUCUGGAUUACAUUAUGGAGAGAGCGAAUGAUAUCAGAAGGAGAAAUCAAGACCGCUUGUUGUAUACCAACUCGAGGGGUGGGUCGUUGGACUCCAGAGGCCAUCCAUGGGAAUCUGUUCCUUUCAAGCAUCCGAGCACUUUCGAUACUUUGGCCAUGGACCCAGUGAAGAAGCAGGAGAUUAUGGAAGAUUUGAAAGAUUUCGGUAAUGGGCAAGCCUUCUAUCAGAAAACUGGGAGGGCAUGGAAGAGAGGUUAUUUGCUUUAUGGACCGCCUGGUACUGGCAAAUCUAGUAUGAUUGCUGCCAUGGCUAAUUAUCUUGGUUACGAUAUUUAUGAUCUUGAAUUGACUGAGGUUCACACCAACUCAGAGCUUAGGAAACUUCUGAUGAAGACAACUUCCAAAUCCUUAAUUGUUAUUGAGGAUAUUGAUUGUUCUAUUAAUUUGAGCAACAGAAAGAAGAGCAACAACAAUGGCAAUUCCAUGGGAAGAAGCUACUAUGACCCAGAAAUGCGAUCUGGGUCUGGUUGUAGCGGUGGUGCUGGUGGUGAAGAAGGUGGGAAUUCAAUAACUUUAUCUGGGUUAUUGAAUUUCACAGAUGGGUUGUGGUCAUGUUGUGGAAGUGAAAGGAUUUUUGUAUUCACUACCAACCACAUUGAGAAACUUGAUCCUGCAUUGCUAAGGAGUGGAAGGAUGGACAUGCAUAUUUUCAUGAGUUACUGUUCAUUUCCAGCACUGAAAAUUUUAUUGAAAAAUUAUUUGGGGAAUAAAGAGAGUGAUUUAGAUGAUAAGAUUCUCAAGGAAUUGGAAGACGUUAUUGAUAAGGCAGAGAUGACUCCUGCUGAUGUUAGUGAGGUUUUGAUUAAGUACAGGCGAAACAAAGACAGGGCGGUGAGAGAAUUGCUUGGAGCAUUGAAGGAAAGAGCUGAGAAGAAUUUAAAGAAUGGAGGUCUCAGGGACAAGAAUUUGAAUGCUGUGGAAGAAGAAGAAGAAGAAG